Long non-coding RNA from Cyprinus carpio carpio, 2393 nucleotides. The record is from Ensembl. Lineage: Eukaryota; Metazoa; Chordata; Actinopteri; Cypriniformes; Cyprinidae.
CUUAUUAUUUGCAUUUUUGAGCAAGAAAAAGGGCUUACUAGUGAUAGAUUAUUGACGUUGCUGUUGUUCAAGGUAUUAGAGCCUGAUGGUGUCGCAGUCAGGUUAGCAAUCACGGUGGAAGGGCGUGUUUGAGUCUGGUUGGCGGUUAUGUUGGGAGGGUUUGUCUGGGUCAGGUUGGCGGUUAUGUUGGGAGGGUUUGUCUGGGUCAGGUUGGCGGUUAUGUUGGGAGGGUGUGUCUGGGUCAGGUUGGCGGUUAUGUUGGGAGGGUGUGUCUGGGUCAGGUUGGCGGUUAUGUUGGGAGGGUGUGUCUGGGUCAGGUUGACGGUUAUGUUGGGAGGGUUUGUCUGGGUCAGGUUGGCGGUUAUGUUGGGAGGGUUUGUCUGGGUCAGGUUGGCGGUAAUGUUGGGAGGGUUUGUCUGGGUCAGGUUGGCGGUUAUGUUGGGAGGGUGUGUCUGGGUCAGGUUGGCGGUUAUGUUGGGAGGGUGUGUCUGGGUCAGGUUGGUGGUUAUGUUGGGAGGGUAUGUUUGGGGCAGGAUAGCGGUUAUGUUGGGAGGGUGUGUUUGGGUCAGGUUGGUGGUUAUGUUGGGAGUUUGUGUUUGGGGCAGGUUGGUGGUUAUGUUGGAAGGGUGUGUUUGUGUCAGGUUAGCGGUCAUGUUGAAAGGGCCCAUCUGGGUUGGGUUUGUGGUCAUAUUAAAAGGGCUCAUCUGGUUCGGGUUUGUGGUCAUGUUGAGAGGGCCCAUCUGGGAUAGGUUUGUAGUCAUAUUAAGAGGGCCUGUCUGGGUAAGGCUGGUGGUUAUGUUAUGAGGACCCAUCUGGGUUGGGUUUGUGGUCAUGUUAAAAGGGUUCAUUUGGUUGGGGUCUGUGGUCGUGUUUAAAGGGCUCAUCUGGUUCGGGUUUGUGGUCAUAUUGAGAGGGCCUAUCAGGGAUAGGUUUGUAGUCAUAUUAAGAGGGCCUAUCUGGGUAAGGCUGGUGGUCAUGUUGAGAGGACCAAUCUGGGUUGGGUUUGUGGUCAUGUUAAAAGGGCUUAACUGGUCGGGGUUUGUGGUCAUGUUGAGAGGGCCCAUCAGGGAUGGGUUUGUAGUCAUAUUAAGAGGGCCAGUCUGGGUAAGGCUGGUGGUCAUGUUGAGAGGACCCAUCUGGGUAAGGUUAAGGUUUAUGUUGGGAGGUCCUGUUUGAGUUAAGUUUGAAGUUAUGUUGAAGGGACCGACCUGGUUUAGGUUGGUGGUCAUGCUGGGUGGGUUCGUCUGGGUCAGGUUGGUGGUAAUGUUGGGUGGUAGUGUCUGGGUCAGGUUGGUGGUCAUGUUGGUUGGUAGCGUCUGGGUCAGGCUGGUGGUCAUGUUAGAAGAUAUCCAGCUGUCUGUAGAGUUGCUACUGCUUGUUGUAUUGCUCCCAUUGACUCCAAGCAUCAUGCAUGCUAUCCCCAGGAUAGCCACAUAAAUCCAUUUACUCCUCAUCCGUGAUCUUUAUGUGCUUAUGUAUCUGUUAAUCGUGCAGUUUUUGUUACCUAUAAUUUAAAAGAAAACAAAUCAUCUUGUAUAAUCAACAAAAAAAAAUAAACAUUUUGGAUAAUUUAAAUUUGAUUUUAAAAGCCAUUAACGAAAGGCAGGCUUUAUCUGAAAGACUUUGUCGUUCAUAAUCUUUUAUCAUUCCUUCCCAGACACAAACAAGCAUGAACCUGGAUCCUCAAUUCAUCAACACCUUAGUUUAUUUACCACAUCUUAUUUAGCAAUAUGGUAUUCAUAAAUAUUAUGGCAUUUUAACAAUUUAACCUUAACACUAACAUACGAGUUUUGCUUAAUGUCUUUUCAUUUCUUUAUCUCAGCAAUGGUUGUUUGUUUGAUGGAACUAAGAGGCUAUCUAUGCAAUCUUCAAAUAAUUCUUGUUACACAACAUUAUAUACUACACAGUGCAACCAUUUAACCUUCUUACUAUGGUAAAGUGUAAAAUUACAGAAUUUGAUAGAUCCUCAAAAUCCAUCCUCAAAACUAAGUGAGCAUAAAAAAAUAAAAUUUUUGCAACUAAAAACUUUUUUUUUUUAAUGUAUGCUUUAGAAGUCAGUGGCUCCUUAGUCAUUCCAUAGUCUCUCGAAAAGUUGGGUCGUUCAGACAGGAUAGCACCGUCCAAUAACACAAAGUAUUUUUAUUUUUUUUCCAGAGUAGACACAACAUUUUGUAAAAAUGUACCAAAAAUUAAAUAAUACAUAAUUGACUUCUAUUUUUAUAACUAAUUUGAAUUAUAAUAUAAAGAUAAAAUAUAUUCAAUUGAUAGGCUAUCUAAUAUUCAUUCAGUACAAUGCAUAAUAAGAUUUGUAAUUUAUGAUCAAACUCAGAUAAAAUAAUAAAAAAUAAAAAAAAACAGCAUGCAUUGGUAUCUGAACAAACAGGAAAAAACAG